GGCCUGGUGGCGAAGUGGUAACGCUGAAGUCUGCAAAACUUCCAUGCGGGGGUUCAAUUCCCCCCCAGGCCU
RNAcentral lists this transfer RNA (72 nucleotides) under bacterium. RNAcentral's name for it is "tRNA-Cys". It matches the Rfam family "tRNA". Rfam says of the family: Transfer RNA (tRNA) molecules are approximately 80 nucleotides in length. Their secondary structure includes four short double-helical elements and three loops (D, anti-codon, and T loops). The record is from RNAcentral.